UAGGAAUUCCUAUAGGAUCCUAUAGGAAUUCCUAUAGGAAUUCCUAUAGGAAUUCCUAUAGGAUCCUAUAGGAAUUCCU
Molecule: non-coding RNA, 79 nt
Organism: Paramuricea clavata
Lineage: Eukaryota; Metazoa; Cnidaria; Anthozoa; Malacalcyonacea; Plexauridae
Source: the annotation of a GenBank genome assembly